This 1316-nucleotide long non-coding RNA is filed under the name Marmota monax (woodchuck). Lineage: Eukaryota; Metazoa; Chordata; Mammalia; Rodentia; Sciuridae. The record is from RNAcentral.
CUUAUUUCUGAAAAGUCAAGCCCCAAAUCCUUUAAUAAUAAUUUGUCAUUACUUAGCUUCAUUAUACAAGAAAUCUUUGAAACAUUGAACUUAAUUUCCUUUGCCUCGACUUUCACUGUGACUCAAAUUUCCUUGCUUUCCCCCAUAGUCUUUCAACCAUGUCACUUGCCUCUGGGGUUUCAGUUUUCCCUGUGAACGGUACUCAGUUGCUGAGACGGGGGUGUGGAGAAAGCGUAGGCCAGAAAACCCCAGCAACCUCUAGCUAAUGCACGGGAGCCUUUAGCUUGGUGAUUACUACAAUUGUUGCUUAGUGGAACAGUGAGCCAUUAACUGGGUUCUUACCCCCCUAUUAGUAUUACCCUAUAAUUUAAUGAUAAUUAGAGUCCCAGAAACACAGACAUAGGAAACAAGUGGGCAAAAGAGGCAGAUGGCAGAGAGCAGCAGCAGCCAGGGGUUUUAAUUAAAGGCACAGCUUCCAGAAGGUGCAGGGCUAAGAAAGACAGUGGGAAGGGUCUGAGCUUGGAGCAAAGCAAUCAGGCAAAUGAUUAAGGGGAUUUUGCAUUGUAUUUUUGGCUUGGAGGUUGGGGGCUGCUGGAGCUGGUCUGAACUGGUUUGACAGCAAUGGGGAUUGAAAGAUCUUGAGAGGUGACUCCCUCUACCCCUCCCCCUUCUUCUCCCUUGAACUGUGGAGAAGAAGGUCUCACAGAAGUGUCUCCAAGGAGGUGCUUCUUGGUCUCACCUGGCUUCCACACCUGGGGCCCAGAGUAGACUGUUGAGUGUUUGUUGGAGCCAACAUCUUUUCUGUGGUGCCACUUCAACCACUCUGAGGAACUCACCAAAGGCUCAGGCCUGGAGAUGACCAUUCCCCAUUGGCUAUGCAUGUUACUAGGGAGUGUAGACCAAAGCAGUGUAUGAAGCUAGGACUGUACUAUGGCCUGGAUGUGGUUUGUUCCCCAGAGGUUCAUAUGUUGGAAGACUGGUCCCAGUGUAGUGAUGUUAAAAGGUGGUGGGACCUUUAUCGGAUAUCAGUGAGAGAUCAUUAAGUCAUUUAGGGUGUUCCCUCAGAAGAAAUGAAGUAAUUUUGUGGAACUUCAGUCUCUCUCUGGCUUCCUGUUCUGCUGCAUGACCUCUCCCUCUUACAAGUGCUCCUACCAUCAUGCUGUCUUCCAUGAAGCUAACAUUCAUUAGACCUUCACCAUUGCCAAGCUGAUGCUGGCACCAUACCUAUAAACCUCCAGACUAUGAGCUAAAAAAAAAUCUCUUCUCUUUAUACAGUGCACAGCCUCCAGUAUUUUGUUAUAGCAACAAAAGCUGAC